RNAcentral lists this ribosomal RNA (446 nucleotides) under uncultured bacterium. RNAcentral's name for it is "bacterial SSU rRNA". It matches the Rfam family "Bacterial small subunit ribosomal RNA", at positions 29 to 521 of the family's 1533-position model. The record is from RNAcentral.
AACGAACGCUGGCGGCAUGCCUAACACAUGCAAGUCGAACGAGACCUUCGGGUCUAGUGGCGCACGGGUGCGUAACGCGUGGGAAUCUGCCCUUGGGUCCGGAAUAACUCAGAGAAAUUUGAGCUAAUACCGGAUGAUGACGUAAGUCCAAAGAUUUAUCGCCCAGGGAUGAGCCCGCGUAGGAUUAGCUAGUUGGUGAGGUAAAGGCUCACCAAGGCGACGAUCCUUAGCGGUCUGAGAGGAUGAUCAGCCACACUGGGACUGAGACACGGCCCAGACUCCUACGGGAGGCAGCAGUGGGGAAUAUUGGACAAUGGGCGAAAGCCUGAUCCAGCAAUGCCGCGUGAGUGAUGAAGGCCUUAGGGUUGUAAAGCUCUUUUACCCGGGAUGAUAAUGACAGUACCGGGAGAAUAAGCCCCGGCUAACUCCGUGCCAGCAGCCGCAGU